GAUGAACGCUGGCGGCGUGCUUAACACAUGCAAGUCGAACGGAAAGGCCCAAGCUUGCUUGGGUACUCGAGUGGCGAACGGGUGAGUAACACGUGGGUGAUCUGCCCUGCACUUCGGGAUAAGCCUGGGAAACUGGGUCUAAUACCGGAUAGGACCACUUCUUGGAUGUUGUGGUGGAAAGUUUUUUCGGUGUGGGAUGAGCUCGCGGCCUAUCAGCUUGUUGGUGGGGUAAUGGCCUACCAAGGCGUCGACGGGUAGCCGGCCUGAGAGGGUGUACGGCCAAAUUGGGACUGAGAUACGGCCCAGACUCCUACGGGAGGCAGCAGUGGGGAAUAUUGCACAAUGGGCGCAAGCCUGAUGCAGCGAAGCCGCGUGGGGGAUGACGGCCUUCGGGUUGUAAACUCCUUUCGCUAGGGACGAAGCGUUUUGUGACGGUACCUGGAGAAGAAGCACCGGCUAACUACGUG
RNAcentral lists this ribosomal RNA (467 nucleotides) under uncultured bacterium. RNAcentral describes it as "partial 16S ribosomal RNA". It matches the Rfam family "Bacterial small subunit ribosomal RNA", at positions 28 to 507 of the family's 1533-position model. The record is from RNAcentral.